This 381-nucleotide non-coding RNA is filed under the name Paxillus involutus ATCC 200175. RNAcentral describes it as "Archaeal large subunit ribosomal RNA". It matches the Rfam family "Eukaryotic large subunit ribosomal RNA", at positions 2789 to 3186 of the family's 3401-position model. Lineage: Eukaryota; Fungi; Basidiomycota; Agaricomycetes; Boletales; Paxillaceae. The record is from Rfam by way of RNAcentral.
GACGCCAAUGGAAGGAGGAAAACAGGGGGAGUUGGGGAUCACUGACUAAUAGCAACAUUGCUUUUUGAUCCUUCGAUGUUGGCUCUUCCUAUCAUACCGAAGCAGAAUUUGGUAAGUGUUGGAUUGUUCACCCACUAAUAGGGAAUGUGAGCUGGGUUUAGACCAUCGUGAGACAGGUUAGUUUUACUCUACUGAUGGAGUCGUCGUCGCAACAGUAAUUGGGUGUAGUAUGAGAGGAACUGUCCAUUCAGAUAAUUGGUAUCUGCACCUGUCCAAUUGGGCAUUGAUGUGAAGCUAUCAUUUGCUGGAUUAUGGCUGAAUGCCUCUAAGCCAGAAUCUGUGCUGGAAGUGACAAUGUUUGGUCCUGCACAUGUGAAUGGA